CAUAUGUAUAUAUAGCACAACACACCCAAGUUAGAAAACGGGCAUUUUUGACAGACUCGAAAUCGGUAUAAGGGAUCGAAGAUAUAAUAGGUAGGACAUCGACAAAGCUCACAGUCCUUCAAACCGUUGUCGCGAGCUACGAUCAGAUAAAGGAACGAGCCACUGGUAUGCAAAUCCUAAAGGAACUAAUGAAGAUUAAGAAUAGCCGUGGUAAAAGAGUUCGCCUCAUUUCUAAAACAUCUUUCGUACGUUCCCUCGUAGCAAUUCUACCUACGGUCCUAACGAGUCAUCCGAUUCCGAGCAUUCCAACAAAAGUCUUGGCUCUCCCUCUACGAUAACGGCAUUGUCCAAUCUUUUUAAAAAUAACGUACUAAAAAGGGAUUCGCCGACGGACCUCCUACGGCGAAUUUCACUCCGCCAAAGUCUAUUCACGGUCCGUCAUCGCCUUCAGUCCGGGCCACCGAAGAAAGAUAUAGAUAUAUAGACAGAUAGAGAGAAAGAGAAAAGGGUCGAGCUACGGUAGCCAAGCGGAGGCAAAGAUUACAUCUUCCACGGUAGCGCCGCCAUGAGAGAUUCGUUUUAAUAGCUUCUUGAAUUUUUUCGGUCCGUUCAGAGGCUCGCUUCUGUCUCUCUCUCUCUCUCUCUCUCUUUUUCUCUUACUGGACAUAUUUUUCUUUCUCCAUCCUUUUCGCGGAAGCCUCGCGAAGAUAGAAAUUCUAAAGUGAUAUUUCACCGGCUCGCUCCAAUCGACGUAAGUUCUUCAUUCGUGGAUGAAGAAUCCUUCGAAAGAUUUUUCGACUAAUGAGGGUAUCGUAAGAACGACUUCCUCCGUUUCCUAAUUUCGCGAGUUAGGAAAAAAGAAUGUCGAAUAUUCCAAAUCUUCGUGUUUCGUCUUUCUUAUUAAGAUUUUUGUAUUCUUAUUAUUUCUUUUCUUUCCUCGAUGUGAUAUAUUUUUAUUGAAAGGAAAUAUAUGAAAUAAUCUCUCGAAUCGUUGCGUGUGAAAUAAAAGAAAAGGAUGAAGAAAGAAAAAAGAGAGAAAUAGUGUCCUAAAAAUCGUACGAAACGUGCCAGUUACACACAGAUCCUAUCGGUUUAUUUCUUACUUAUUAACGAAUCCAAUUAUUUUCGAGAUAAGUUGAACGGUAAUUUGGUAACACGUAAAACGCACAGAGUUUUGAUUCGAACCUGGUUCUCGCGAUUCAAUGGUAAAGAGCCAAUCAGUGGUGGAAAGGCAAUAGAUCGUUGGUACCUGAUCAGCUGACAUAUAAAUACGCGCUUCUCUCUCUUUCUUUCUCUCUCUCUCUCUGUUGUUCAACUUCAUUAUCUUUAAAGAUAUUUUAUGCAAAUACUCUUAAAGCUCGCGUUCCUGAAUAUAUUAGUUGCCUUCACGCGCGAAUGCAUCUUUCGAUCAUCCAAAAAGUAACAAGUACAAAAAAUAAGAAGAUAAAAAUAGAAAGAAUCAAAAAUAAAAAGAAGAAAAAAGAACAGUUCUUCGUUGUAGAUUUCUUCUCUCUCUCUCUCUCUCUCUCUCUCUAUCUUCUUUCUCAAAGAUCGAUAAAUAAAAUGAUCGGUACAAGAGAGAAAAUUGAUUUACGAUAGGUCGAAUAUCGCGAAGAAACUGACGACGAACUUGGUCGUGGCUUGGUCGAACCGUUUAAAUAAUAAAGCGAUUUCAUUAUCGCGCCGGUUAAAUUUAUUCGCGACGUUUCAACGAGUAUGAAAGAAGAUAGAGGAGAGAGAGGGUGGUGGCUGGUGAUGGUGAUGGUAUAUCGUGAGCAAAAAAGAAAAAAGCGAUAUAGAGAAAAACAAGAAGAAGAAGAAGAAGUAGAAGAAGAAGAAGAAGAAGAAGAAGAAGAAGAAGAAGAAGUAGAAGAAGAAGAAGAGAAAGGGAAUGAGGAGGUGGCUCCGGGAUUUCGCUUUUCUUCCUUCUAAGCGGCGCUAAAACGUGGCGCGUUGAAAGGGUCCCUAAGGGCAGGACCCCGUGACUCUUCUUCCCCUCUCACACCGAAACGAACCACAGUCGAACUUAUUUUCAACUCGUCUCAUUCCUUCUUUUUAUUCUUCUUUUUCUCUUUCUUCUUCUUUUUCUCUUUCUUCUUCUUCUUCUUCAUCUUCUUUUUCUCUUUCUUCCUCUUCUUCUUCAUCUUCUUCUUCUUUAUAUCCUCGAUGGUGUGCGUGUAUACGCUCGUGCGCGCGGGCGCGCGCGAGGUGAUAAAUCACCGCGCCAUAAACAACCAAUAUUUCUCCUCGAAUGUUUACCGAGUACGCUUUAAAUGCCUUGUUAAAACAAACCUACGCCCGUGCGAGCCUGGACUGCGCCCUUUUUGCCCCUCUCUCUCUCUCUCUCUCUCUCUCUCUCUCUUUCUAUCUCUGUUUCACUCUUUCUUUCUCUUUCUUUUUUUCUCUCUCUCUUUCUUUCUUUCUUUCUUUCUUUCUUUCUUUCUUUCUUUCUCUUUCUUUCUAACAGACCAAUACUCGUUCCUCCCCUCUUCUCCUUCUUUUUCUCACAUCCUCCUUCUCUCUUUCGCAUCGCAGCUACACCGACCGACGGGUAUAUAUCACGAUGCGGCAUCGAAGUAAACUCCCUGACCCUUUCGCGAAAGCUUACGAUACAGGAGAAAGAAGAAGAAGACGAAGAAGAAGAAGAAGAAGAGGACUAAGAAGAAAAAGAGAAAGAAAAAAGAGACUUCGAUACUCGACGUUGGGUGGGUGAAGGAGAAGUUUCGCCGAAUAACAACGAAAGAAGUUAUAGGCGUUCUCGUAUAAACAAACAAUAUGUACGGUCGAACUAAGUUCAUCGUCGAGGACGUUGCCUAUGAUUCAUGGAGACCCGUAUCCCAUUCUACGUAGUAACGCGCAACGCUCGAGUGCCUCCGUCCAUAUGAGGUGACGUAUCCGUAACGAAGUCUAUGGUGGAUGAAAGUUGUUGAGGACGAAGAAAACUUGGAGAAAGAAAGAGAGAGAAAGAGAGAUGGAGAUAACUGAACGAUACAUAACUAAUUCGAAGGUAUGAGUACAAUAAUAUUCUUAUUGUUAAAGUAGAUUUGCUUUGUACUAUAAUUCGAUAGAUAGAUAGAUAGAUAGAUAGAUAGA
Vespula vulgaris is the source of this 3093-nucleotide long non-coding RNA. RefSeq lists it as uncharacterized. The transcript has 3 exons. Lineage: Eukaryota; Metazoa; Arthropoda; Insecta; Hymenoptera; Vespidae. The record is from RefSeq and is a predicted model, not a curated record.